CCUACGGGAGGCAGCAGUGAGGAAUAUUGGUCAAUGGACGAAAGUCUGAACCAGCCAAGUAGCGUGCAGGAUGAAGGCCCUAUGGGUUGUAAACUUCUUUUAUAUGGGAAUAAAAUAUUCCACGUGUGGGAUUUUGUAUGUACCGUAUGAAUAAGGAUCGGCUAAUUCCGUGCCAGCAGCCGCGGUAAUACGGAGGUUCCGAGCGUUAUCCGGAUUUAUUGGGUUUAAAGGGAGCGUAGGUGGGUUGUUAAGUCAGUUGUGAAAGUCUGCGGCUCAACCGAACAAUUGCAGUUGAAACUGGCAGUCUUGAGUACAGUAGAGGUGGGCGGAAUUCGUGGUGUAGCGGUGAAAUGCUUAGAUAUCACGAGGAACCCCGAUGGCGAAGGCAGCUCACUGGACUGCAACUGACGCUGAGGCUCGAAAGUGUGGGUAUCAAACAGGAUUAGAUACCCCAGUAGUC
RNAcentral lists this ribosomal RNA (460 nucleotides) under uncultured bacterium. RNAcentral's name for it is "partial 16S ribosomal RNA". It matches the Rfam family "Bacterial small subunit ribosomal RNA", at positions 338 to 795 of the family's 1533-position model. The record is from RNAcentral.